GGACCUGACUGCUAUCGGAUUGAUACUAAGCCAUGCGAGUCAUUGUAGCAAUACAAGGCAGACGGCUCAGUAACGCGUAGUCAACCUACCCUAUGGACGGGAAUAACCUCGGGAAACUGAGUAUAAUGCCCGAUAGAACAUUAUACCUGGAAUGGUUUAUGUUCCAAAUGAUUUAUCGCCGUAGGAUGGGACUGCGGCCUAUCAGUUUGUUGGUGAGGUAAUGGCCCACCAAGACUAUUACAGGUACGGGCUCUGAGAGGAGUGGCCCGGAGAUGGGUACUGAGACACGGACCCAGGCCCUAUGGGGCGCAGCAGGCGAGAAAACUUUGCAAUGUGCGAAAGCACGACAAGGUUAAUCCGAGUGGUUUCUGCUAAAGGAACCUUUUGUCAGUCCUAGAAACACUGAUGAAUAAGGGGUGGGCAAGUUCUGGUGUCG
Molecule: ribosomal RNA, 436 nt
Filed under: uncultured archaeon
Lineage: Archaea
Description: bacterial SSU rRNA
Rfam family: Archaeal small subunit ribosomal RNA
Source: RNAcentral